AAUAAUGUAUUUUUUUUUCCUACAAAUUGAAAGAAAGAAUAAAUAAAAAAACAUAGAUGAUUUUUUUGGGAUGUUUGGAAUAGUUAAAAUGGACCAGCAAUUUCGUAUGGGAGGAGAAUUAAACUAGUUGUAACCAAAAUAAAUUUGUCAAAUAAGAGAAGCAUCCAUAUUCGCUUGCACUAUCAAUAGAUUAAUAUGCGUUUUACAUCACUUUAAUACAUUUUAAGUUUGUUUUGGUGAUUUCCUAGUCAAUGGUGGAUCGUGUUUAAUUUGUGGUGAAUUCACAGAGUAUCAUGGAUGCUUGAUACUCUACCAACCAUUCAGGAACAAACAUCACCGAUUUCCAGUGGUAUAAGAAACACGCUAACAAGUUUUAGGAUUCAACACCUAAGGCAUAUGAACUGGGUUAGGGUUGGGUUGCUUCUUUUUUUUUUUUUCCCUUACUAAUGGUGAAUUGGUUGGCUACGGGGUCCUGUGGUUUUUGUCCGUUUUGAUUUUCGACAGGAAGAAGGAAAAAAGAAAAGAAAAAGGGAAUCCUUUUGUGUGUCUAAUUGAUUAUUAUAUUGAUUGCAGAAUUGAUUGGCAUAAAGCAAAUUCGUACUGGUUUAAUUGAAUAAAAUGAACAAUUCAUAAUCUCUGUCAUGUUAUGUUAUCAAUCCUAAGCAAAUUCUUUUCCAUUUUGAGGGCUAAAUCUCCUCUAGACCUUAUUCAAGUGCCAAACAACAUUUUAAGUGUGAAGCAUUAGCACUUUAUCUGAAUCACUUGAUCUUUAGCAUUGUCAAAUUAAUUUUUUAUUUGAAAUGUUACUGCAAUAGUCGUUUGACCAUAAGAUGUGAAAUAAAACCCUGUUUAUAGAUGAGGGCUUAUUAGGGUUAUAUUUUAAGCCUGGCUAAGAAAGAUUUAUACAAGUCAACUAAAAUUUGGGAUAUACGUAGAUCAUGGGAUAUACGUAGAUUUUGUUCCCUAGGAAUGGCACUGUAUAGUUACCAAAAAGCAUGACAUUUUGCAUUUCAACUGCAGUAAACUUUCACCAGAGUAAAUGUUCCCAUAGAGUGGCUGCGAUGAUUUUUUUCCACGGCGAAGCAUGGCUGGUAUUAAGGGCGAUACAUGUUAGAUUAGCACAAUAAAGCAAUCUGCAAGGACCCAACUGAUUCAAAGGAAGUUCCACCGCUCGAUGUACCAGAACUUUUGGCAUAUUUAGUUAGGCAAUCUGGGCCAUUCUUGGAUCAAAUUGGUGUUAGAAGAGGUAAGCAAUUCUCUUGAGUUUUGAUUUUGAUCUUAUAAUGAAGUGAUCAAUAAAGGUAUAUAUAUAUAUAUAUAUAUUUAUGUAUAGAAAUACACAUAGUUUAGUUCCUAUUAAUGGGGUUCUAGGUACAGAGCUGACCUUUAAUCAUUAUGUACAAAGUAGCUGCCUUGUAUUCACACUCACUACUUCAAGGUUAUUAGGCCUGAAUUUAAAACCACUAAACCAAUCGUCCCCUUUAAAGUACACCCACUUCAGUCCCAAUUAGUGGAAUAUGUAUAUAUGUUUGUCACGAUAAUUUGUAUUGAGGAUGAUUGAUGUAGUUUCAUAUAUGUCAUGUGACAAAAUCUUUGCUUCACAACUUUAGAUGGUCCUUUAGAUAAGCUUUACUACACCAAUUGAAACUAGUUUGCAAUUCUUAGGCAGAAGUAAAAUUCAGGACUGCAGCCUUAUGUAAUACAGAUGCCUUACAAUUGAAAUUAUCAGAAAUGUGCUACAAAUUUAAACACCAGAACUACAUUACAAAAUGGUUUUUUUCUUUAUCAAUGUAUGAUUGUCUGCUUUUUGCUAUAUUCUAGAACUAUCUGAUGCUUUAAGAAAAUUAACGAUGUGGAUUUGGUAUAUAGAAAGAUUCAGGGGAAUAACUGACCUGUUGGUUCCCCUUAUUUAGAUGGUUGGGUUAUGUGAGUUCACAGGUAUUAGAUAAGCAGGCAACAAGUAUCAAAACUUGAAAUUUUUUAUCUAGAACUGUCUUUGAGGGUCCGUUUGGGGUUGCUAGACCUAUUUGAAGGUGCUUAUUUAGGUACGCUGACAAAAUCAGCUGGGAAUGUGUUAGGCAAAGGUUGUUUAAAAAGUGCUACAAUUGGGUCACAUAUAGAAUUAUAACUUUUGCCAGGGGCCAAGUUUUAAAGUUAAUAUACUACAAUGCAAGUAUUUUUUUUAAUUUUUUUUUGUUGAUAAAUUCUUUUUUUGUUGUUGAUAAAUUCAAUGCAAGUAUCAGUGGGCCCAAAACAACCAAUAAGCUAAGAGGCAUGAUUGGAUGUUUUUCUGAAAAAAGCUAACUUUUUGUUUAAUUUGAAGUAGAUCCACUUUAACCAAAUGCCACAAAUGGAGUUAUCUUGGUUCUAGUGUGGUUUGACUUGGAAAAUUUUAAAUUGUUCCAAUUGACAAUAUGGAAGCAGCGUGUCAUUUGGAGGUCUGAAGGGCUGUUCUUAUAUUAAGUAUUCCACAUGCUAUUUGUAAUAUUUGGUUUAUUUUCAAGGAAUAGUUCCAUGGUUUA
Camellia sinensis is the source of this 2522-nucleotide non-coding RNA. Lineage: Eukaryota; Viridiplantae; Streptophyta; Magnoliopsida; Ericales; Theaceae. The record is from RefSeq and is a predicted model, not a curated record.